Molecule: non-coding RNA, 72 nt
Organism: Phrynosoma platyrhinos (Desert horned lizard)
Lineage: Eukaryota; Metazoa; Chordata; Lepidosauria; Squamata; Phrynosomatidae
Source: the annotation of a GenBank genome assembly
GGCAGCAUGGUGUAAUGGUUUGAGCUUUGGACUAUGACUCUGGAGACCAGGGUUCAAAUUCUGGUUUGGCCA